RNAcentral lists this unclassified non-coding RNA (675 nucleotides) under Hevea brasiliensis (rubber tree). Lineage: Eukaryota; Viridiplantae; Streptophyta; Magnoliopsida; Malpighiales; Euphorbiaceae. The record is from RNAcentral.
UGAAUCAACCUCCUAAUAAUCUACCGUUUUACUGAACAAUUUCAAUUGCAUCGUUUUCAACCAGAAAACCAUACUAUUUUCACUUCACAUAUAUGAUCCCUUUUAACAUAUAAAUCCCUCACACUUAAACCCGCCAUGGGACCGUUCCAACAGUGAACCUGACUGAGUCGAUGUUUCUGGUUAAUGAACCGAUUCGGAACCAAGAUAUAGGGGGCCAAUCCUUGUCGCCCUUCUGGAACCUGAACCGGAAACUGGUGGUUUUGAACCAAAGCUGACCCGAUUCUAAAUUUUUUUUUAAUCAUAUUGGAUUUAUAUUUAAGUCCCUUUAUUUUUUACAUUAGAAACUAAUAUCUAAAAAUUUUUUCAAAUUUAAUAACAUCCGACCAAGUGGAACCAAAUCAAAACCAAAUGAAAAACAUUACAAAUCAAAACAGUCUUGAACCUAAACCAGUCCGAACUGUGAAGCCGAUCAAACUAGCGAUUCUGACCCAAAACCGGACCGGACUGGAACCAACCCGCGGCGAGAUCAGCUUGCGCUAGUGGUGAAUCUUCAAAAAGAGAUCUAAAUGGUAGCUUAUACGUGAUUUGCUUAUCAAUCAGUGAACAGAUCCAAAACCCUGAAACAAGUGAAUGUUAUUGAGAUAUACAUACCUUUGAAUUCAGGAGACUUAUGCU